AAUGAACGCUGGCGGCGUGUCUUAAGCGUGCAAGUCGUGCGGCAAGGGUAGCAAUACCCCUAGAGCGGCGGACUGGUGAGUAACGCGUGGGUGAUCUGCCCUUGGGUUGGGGAUAGCCAUUGGAAAUAGUGGGUAAUACCGAAUACGAUGGCGAGAGUGUGGUCUUGUCAUGAAAGGCGCUCCGGCGCCACCCGAGGAUGAGCCCGCGUCCCCUUAGCUAGUUGGUGAGGUAACGGGCCACCAAGGCCAUGAUGGGUAGGCGGGCUGAGAGGGUGUACGCCCACACUGGGACUGAGAUACGGCCCAGACUCCUACGGGAGGCAGCAGCUAAGAAUAUGCCGCAAUGGACGAAAGUCUGACGGAGCGACGCCGCGUGGAUGACGAAGGCCGAAAGGUUGUAAAAUCCUUUUGUUGGGGAAGAAUAAGGCUGGGAGGGAAUGCCCGGCUGAUGACAUGAACCGACGAAUAAGUCCCGGCUCACUACGUGCCAGCCGCCGCAGUAA
RNAcentral lists this ribosomal RNA (503 nucleotides) under uncultured bacterium. RNAcentral's name for it is "partial 16S ribosomal RNA". It matches the Rfam family "Bacterial small subunit ribosomal RNA", at positions 29 to 523 of the family's 1533-position model. The record is from RNAcentral.